UAAAUAAAUAUAAUACUUAAUUGUCUUGGCAAAUGAGUUUUGUUAAAUAAUUAUUUCUGCUACAAGAUGCUUUUGUUCUAAAAUAUAGUCUAAGUAGAGUCGAUUCUUAUAAAUAAUUGAGAGAUUGAUUAGUAGCAAAGCAAUAAUGUAAGAAAACGUAAGUAAUGAAAUCAUACAGAAUUAAAACGGCGUUAAUAAAUUUUUGAGCUUGUGUAUAAUAUACACAGUGUAAACAUUGCUCUUUUUGCUUUAGGAUUGAAAUUAUCAUACAUACUCUUAAAAAAAAGACGAUUAAACAACUCAUUUUGGGACCCAGCGCAGUGAUGCCCAGAAUCGAAUCUUUUUGCACCGUCGUGCUGCAUGGGGAGGAUGGCUGGCAGCACGAUGCUGCAAAAAGAUUCGAUACUGGCGUUCGGCAUACCGCGCGGUGUGGCGCCACAUCUGGCGCGUGAAGUUAACCGCGCGGCGCGGCGUCACCUUUGACGCGUGAAGUUGACCGCGCGAGAAAGACGGAGUCGCUUCACUCUGUCUUUUCGUGUAUCACUUUCGGAACGCGACGGACGCAGGAUGGACCGGCUCCGGAACAAGUGGCACCGCGAAUCUCUUAAUUGAUCGUGGCUAGACUGACAUGGAUCGGUGCCGGGGUGAAUAUUGCGCCAUGUCCACUAGAACGCAACGAACGCAGGAUGGACUGACUUCAGAACAAGUGGCAUCGUAAAUCUUUUAAUUGAUCGCGGCAAGUCUGUGAUGGAUCGGUACCGGGGAGAAUGUCGCGCCACGUCCGCUCGUAUCAGAUGAUAGCAGUACUUUCCUUUGGAGCCAAGUCAAGUGUUAACAAACAUCUUUUCACCGACAAUGAGAUGCUCUUGAAAGCUAUUUCGUGCCUCGUAACAUCAAUGAACGUCGUUGUAUCUUGGCGCAUCGUUAGCGUCUAACGUUGUCGAAAGUGGCGCAAGUUAUCAUCCAAACAAGACGUUCGACCAGCUGUACUUCGUCCUGAACGAGUAAAUUUUCCUCGGUACGAGCGAUCAUUACGAUAAAAUAAUGUGAAAAAUGUGCUACGUUUGGCCACCAUCGUUACGCUUUCUUUUACGCCUGUUUAGCUUAAAUGAUGAUUCUUCGCUCUCUUUGCGGCUCUCUUUCUGGGCUUUGUAAAAAUAUUGUCUUCUAUUUUGUAUCCUAAAUACUUUUUUUCAUUGUGAAAUAUUAUCGUUGCUUUUUUUCUGUACAACGGCCAUACAUCGACAUUAAUAAAUGCAAGCACAAUGUGAGUGCGAAACCUAAAGAUCGCUACGUAGCUUUCUUGCUCGUUUCAAAAUUAUGGUUCCGAUAGGACUUCGAAAUAUUAUGCUUUAGUUUUGAAACCUUUGCCGUAGAUAAUUAACUUGCAUCUUGUUCGAUAAUAUGGUAUCUUAUUAAUUUUCCUGUGGCUUUAACCUCUAAUCGAGAAUUUCGAUUUAUAACUUUAAUAGAUGAUCUCAGACAUUCUCAUGAAAGCGAUAUCAAGAGAAGAUAAAAUAUUCAAUCUCAUUGUCAGAAAAAUUUCUUUGACUUAAUUCGAUUUGCGUUUUGUUUUUUUCUUUACACUUAUUCUAUGAUAUUAUGUUACAGAAUAGUGUAUAAACUGAAUUUGAUAUACAUAGUUUUUCCGAUUUUUUCUUUUAAAAAAUUAUUUAAAUCUAUAUCUUUAGAGUGUGUGUGUGUGUGUGUGUGUAAUAAUCUUCAUAUUAUUAAUAUUCUAUAUUAAUAGUACACAAUUAUGGGAAGCUAUAUUUGUCGAAACAAAUUAUUAUUAAUAGAAGUAUGGAAUGGAGAUUAAAAAAUUUAUUUUAAAGUCGGUCUCCAACUUCUUCAGAUUUAGGUCGAAGUGUAUGGAUUUCAUGCUUUAAUCGCUAUAAUCGCUAUAAUUAGCGCUUUACAUCUCUUGCCACCGCUUAGAACGCUGUUGCCGCGGUUAUGACGCGGUUACGAAACGCUUGCACUAUCAUCGGAGAAUUUCAGUAGCAGGUUGAUUAGAUGCAGGAUCUAAGCUCGGAAAUGAGGAAGAAGAUUACGGUAAACGACGCUAGUAGUAUUAAUUGAGGUAUAAGGAAUUUAACACGAAUGAUGUUGCCGACACAAAUUGACUACGUCUAACAGAAAGCAUAAACCUGUUUUCUAAUGUGUCUUGUGAGAUAUUUUUUGAAAUUGAUCGAACUUGACAUUGGACCUUUUAUUUAAGCAUCUCCUCUUCGUAUAAUAUGUGAUUUUUUAAUAAAAAUUUUUAUCUUUCUUUUAAACUUCGCGUUAAUAAAUUGUACUUCUUACACUUUUCUCCUUUGUAAGCUGUUCUUAUCUACACUUAUCUUGCCUUUUUCUGAAGCUUUCAUUUCAUUGCUGUCCGUCUAUUCGGGCAAAUAUUUAUUUCUUCAAACUGUUCAUAAGUCAACACAUUAACGCGAGCGCACAUUGCGCGCACGUAGUGAGAUUUUCACAAAAACGGCGACCAUUUCCGCGCGAUUUUUCUCUAUAGAAGGUUGGGCGUGUGCAGGAGAAAAGAAUUAAGUUUCGCUGGAUGUUUGAAGUAUUCUUACGCCGAAACGAAUGAACUCGUUGCAACUCUGCAAAAGUGAAGAGCGUGAAAUACGCUCGUUGUUAUUUUUAUCUAUAAAACUGUGUUGCUGCGUGUUCAAGAGAGCCGCGCCGUUAGCAGACGAGAGUGAAACGCGGCGCGAAUAAGGCGAAAUAAGUGGGAAUUCUAACUGAUUGUAUUUUUACGAUUGCAUCUUCUAAAUUGCCGUUGAGUGCCGUAAACAAAUGUUCUUCUUAUUCACUCGUGUCGGAAAUCGCGUUACGCCGAAACUAAAUCUACAAAAACAUUGUAACGUUUCGCGUUGUAUCACUUUGGCGUCGAGGCGUCAUUUUUCUUUACGAAUUCUUUCUGAAAACAGGUCGAACGAACGGAAAGGUAUCUGUUCCGUUUUGACGGAACAGGAAUAAAAACAGCAUACCAUUUUCCGGUGUACCUCCGUUUCCUCCCGGCUGUGUCCAUUUCGUCACUCGGUCGAGCAUGCAAUAUGUUCGCACGGGGUAUAUAUACGUGUAAGUGCAUUUCCACUUUGAAAAAAAGCGCGACGCAGAUGGCAGGGCGCGCUGUACGACAGGGAUAAGGGGGAAGGGUGAGGGAGGGGCGGAUACGGAGAAACGGUUAUAAAAAAAAAAAAAGAGGGAUAAAGAAACGGGAACGCGAUUCCCCGCAAUGUAUUUCAGUCAGAAGCGGCUUUUGAAAUUCUGACGCUUCGUCAGUUCUCUUUGGAUGCAUUCGCAGAGUGGCAUUAUCAUCGCUGUAGUUACGAGUACAUCGCGCACGCUUUUUUUCCCUCCCCCGAGUUGCAGCUACAGUUUCGGCUUCUGACGUUUCAUCGCAGCAAGUGGGCAUCGCGUAUAUGGCUCUAGCUCUUUUUUUAAGGACCACUCGGUGCUAAAAGUCCAAUAUUCCUUUUUCUCUUUCUCCGUUUCCUCCUCUCUAUUCUCUCUCUCUCUUUCUCUCUCUCUCUCUCUCUCUCUCUCUCUCUCUCUUUCUCUCUAUCGUUUUAUUUCUCUGUUCUCUGAUGCUUUUUCCUCUCCAUCAACGUUACUCACAUUUCUAGAUUCUGCCUUCAAGAACUUUUCGUUGAAACUCUCGUGGUUGCACGGACGUAUUUAACAGUUAGAACUUACAUAAUAGCGUGAUUUUAAAUGCUGUACUCUAAAACUAUAUCUAGCUUCCUUAACGAUUUUCCGUAUUAUUUUAUAGAUGACUAUUUUUUACGCCACGUUAUAUUCCGUGCGUUCCAGCAAGUUCUGUAUAUAUAAAUGCUUAAGUAUCGCGUCUGUUUUAAGAGUCUAAAUUCCGCGCGCAUGCUUAAAAAAAAAAAAGAUUAUAAUCAUACCGAACGAGGUACUCAUCUCACUAAUCGUAAAAAGGUGUCCUGCUAUUACUUCGAGUGACGAUAAAUGUUUCAAGCUCUUUCGUAAAAUGGGCGACUAUUUGGCAAAUGCUCCCGCGACUACGUUCGUGGCGUCGUUCUCUUUUUCCGCUUUCACAGAUGAGUUGCACGAAAAGGGUAGAGAGAAGUGCAUAUCGAAUGGGGGAUGCAUAAUCAUCGACAACUACGACGACGACAACGACGACGGCGGUGGAUAGGUAUAGGUAGGAAGCGACGUCGAUUGAACAUUGUUUACAUUCGAUCGAGCAAAUCGGCUCGGCGCCGCUUCUUGUUUCUCGGUUCCACGCGUGAACGCGUAAGUGCGGGUGCUUGCACCGUUACAUUAUAUCCGCCGCCACGAAGGAACAUGAACGGAAGGGGGAUGAAGCACUCGACGCUCGACACGGUCAACGUUCUCGCGCGCUGCUGGUCGCGCAGCAACAGCGACAGCGGAAACUCCGCUCUGUCGAGCGCUAAGGAUAGCAAAGCCUGAGAGAUGCCGAGACUCCGAUAUAAUUAAUAAAUCCCAUUCAAACUCCAUUUUAAGUCGUUUCCCACCACGGAGAGUCACGUAAAGGCAAUUAGUUGUUACGGAAGUAUCAUAAAUCCCGUUACUUUUACGAUUAAAAGUACAGAGUUGCGAUAUAUAUUCAACGCUAAAAAAAAAAAGUCGCGUUUAAGGGUUGCUUCAUUUUCAAUGGAACAAAUAUAUAGAACUACCUUCCACAGUUAUAGAAAGAAAUAAUUGAGCACUUGUUAUUAUUUUUCUUUACAUGUACAAGAUUGAAGUCGAUGAUGCAUGAAAAGUAUAGUGAGUUGGUAUGGUUGAAUGAAUAUUUCGCUAUGUGCCGCCCUAUUAAUUCCGUAUCUCGAGAGGCGAAGAGCGCAGCUGCGACCGCGAUACUCUGUAACACUAUCAAUUCUGUGGCGUGGGAGGUUGAAAUGUUUACGUACGAUCGGACUGCCAUUUGUUACACGAUAAAGUAUCAGCCACAACCCCAAACUGCGAGGAAACUUCGGUAAGCGGUCGAAGGACCACUAAAUAUUCCCGCUGAAAAUCGACCGAUAUUUUCCACGUUCAGUCAUAUCGCUGCGGCAUGCGAUGCACGACCGAUUAAUACGGAUGAACGAACUUACGAAAUUAGUGAAUAUAAACUGAAUACUAUUGAACUAAUUGAAAAAUAUUACUGUCAGCAAUAGACAGAAAUACGCAUAACAUUUUUUUUUGUAAUUUUAGAGAGGAUAUUUGAGAAGAGAUAUGAAUUAUUAAAGAUAUAAAGAGAGACUGGAUGAAACAUUUAUAUGUUAAUAUGAAAUUUAAUUUCAACACGUUUCACGAUAUUGUAAUAAGUGUAAAUUUGCUUUCGCGUAAUGAAAUCUUUUAAUAUCGGUGUUUUGCUUACCUAACGUUACACAUAUAUACUCGCUUUAGAGAAACGAAAAAUCAUAUAUCUGUGUGUGUGUGUGUGUGUGUGUGUGUGCGCGUGUGUGUGUGUGUGUGUGUGUGUGUAUGUAUGUCAAAUCCAGAGCGUAGCACUGGAGCGUAGAACCAAGUGCUUGAACGUUAAUGUCGUUUAUCACGUUCUUAUAGUAUCUUGUUAUGGCGUUUCAGAUGAUUAGUUUUACGUAUCGUUGAUACGUGGUGUAUAUACGAAAAACAAAUUUCUGAUCUUUAAAUAGGAAUGGAUCUAUUUUUUUUUAAACGUACAGUGUUUGUAAACUGUGUGUGAAAAUGUUUGAGAAUAAAUAUAUAAACUCUAUCGUAGAGAAUUAUAAUACAAUAUUUUAAAAAUUUUAGAUUAUUCAACAUGUAUUAUAAAUAUAUGAAAUAAUGUAUUAAUGUUAAUUAUAGCAACAAAACAUUUAAAAUGUCUUGUUUUAGGGAAAAUAAGCGAAAAUUAAUAAUUAUCAAUUAUAUUUUGUUUACAAAAAGAUUUUAUAAACUCUUUUUAUAUUAAGUUAUAUAUAUAUAUAUGUAUAUUACUAUUAUUAACCAGAAUUUAUAUUAAUAAAUUAAAUCAUUAAAAGCUAUUAAAAGAGAUUAAUAUUUUAAUAAAUGUUACAUAAAUGUAGAAAGCGUUUUCAACAAAACGCUUUGUGAAAAGCGUUUGUGUAUUGUGGAUAAAAUCCUUCGAAAUAAGCAUUGUAUGUAAUCACAGGAUUUUAUUUUUUUUAUGAUUUUAUGUUAAAUAUGCUUUUCCUAAUAUUUUAUAAAAAAUCUAAAUAUGAAAAUAACGGCAAUGUACAAAUUAUGCUACGAUGUACAAAUCAGGGCGUAGUCUCUCAUGCUUGACGUCAAAAUCACCGAUAGCUUAAUAUAUAAGUAACAUACAGAUAUAAGACAUCCUAUUUUCGUAACAAAUAAAAUGUGAAGUCGGCUGGAAACAGUAGUAUCAAGGAAGCUGAAAGCAAACCCACAAUUGUGGUAUUGUGAGACUGGUGGAGGGUGAAAUAGAGCAGGAGGAGCUUUUUUCCGGUGUCCCACUUCUCACGGCAAUACAAAUACAGUGAUCGAGUCCGUGAGGGCUGCAGGAUCAAAGGUUCCUCCGUCGACCUCAAGCUUCCUCCCUUUUGCCGACUCGCUCCUAGCCGCGGUUCUUGGCGGUUAAACCCGAUGGUGGGGUGGCAGUGGUUUGCCGCUGCCAAUGGUGGUGUAGCUACCACCACCACCACUACCACCACCACCAUCACCACCACCACCAACACCAUCACGUUAGUACUAAAUUAUGUAGCAUAAUGGUGAAACGAAGAGGGAACGCAGGAGCCGGGGAAGGAAACGAGGGAGAAAGCGAAAGAACGAAGGGCACAGAAGCGCUUUUCUGCGCUCCAUUCGUCAAUGUCGUGAACCGCGCUUCUUUUCAGAAUAUCACAAUAAUGGUUAAAGUGAUCCCCUUAAUUCAGUCCUAUUUAUUUUUAUUCGUAUUCGUUUUUCUUUUUCGUCAAAUUCUUCACGUUCAAUUAUGUUGCUCCUUCAGUUUAUGCGGAACAGAAAUGUUUCAAAGGCAAUUAAAUAGCUCUUCAAAUCAAUAGCUUUUGACAUGUCUGAAUAAUCGCGCUCGCAUUUGUUUUUUUUUUAUAUUACAUUAAUAUUUUUUGCUUAUAUAAUUAAAUUUUUUUAGAUCAAUCAAAAUUGACUAUGUACCAAUUUAUACGAUUUUAUGAAAGCAAAUAUAUAUUUUUUAUAUUAUGGACAUCAAUAAGCAUCAGCUGCUGGUGUUGUCGGCCUUGCGACUUUAUUUCGUGAUAGGGGAACGCACGAAGAAAAGUUACAAAGUGGUAUACGAAAGAGAUACCAACGAGCGUAGGACUUCCUAUUCUUAUGUCAUUCGUCAACGUCGAGAAUCAUGCCUUUUCGUAAAGCACUGCUUUGGUAGUGUAAAUGGUGUCGCGAAUACGAUCCUAUUUACUUCUACCUACGCAUUUUCCACCCCACAUUUUAUCCACGACAGCUUACAAGUCCAU
RNAcentral lists this long non-coding RNA (7409 nucleotides) under Monomorium pharaonis (pharaoh ant). Its description in RNAcentral is "uncharacterized LOC105828424, transcript variant X6". The record is from RNAcentral. Lineage: Eukaryota; Metazoa; Arthropoda; Insecta; Hymenoptera; Formicidae.